GUAACGACUCUCGGCAACGGAUAUCUCGGCUCUCGCAUCGAUGAAGAACGUAGCGAAAUGCGAUACUUGGUGUGAAUUGCAGAAUCCCGUGAACCAUCGAGUCUUUGAACGCAAGUUGCGCCCGAUGCCAUCAGGUUGAGGGCACGUCUGCCUGGGCGUCACG
RNAcentral lists this ribosomal RNA (163 nucleotides) under Raphiocarpus sesquifolius. Its description in RNAcentral is "5.8S ribosomal RNA". It matches the Rfam family "5.8S ribosomal RNA". Rfam says of the family: 5.8S ribosomal RNA (5.8S rRNA) is a component of the large subunit of the eukaryotic ribosome. It is transcribed by RNA polymerase I as part of the 45S precursor that also contains 18S and 28S rRNA. The record is from RNAcentral. Lineage: Eukaryota; Viridiplantae; Streptophyta; Magnoliopsida; Lamiales; Gesneriaceae.